Coturnix japonica (Japanese quail) is the source of this 5184-nucleotide non-coding RNA. The record is from RefSeq and is a predicted model, not a curated record. NCBI's taxonomy places the organism in Eukaryota, Metazoa, Chordata, Aves, Galliformes, Phasianidae.
GGUUGGGUUUAAAGCUAUGGUUGGGGUUAAGGUUGGAGGUUAGGGUUAGGGUCAGAGUUAGGGUUGGCUUUGGUUUGGUUUUGAGGUUGGCUUUAGAGUUAGGGUUCAGGAUAGGAUUGGAGUUAAGGUUUUGUUAGGGGCUCCUUGGGAAACUGCUUUACCCAGCAUCUGUCUCUGUACCCACCACCUUUUGGGGCAGAAGGAAGGGGUCCCUGUGGGACCAGGCACCCUUUGUAUGGCUGUGGGGCGUAGGCAGGAGUUUCCCUGAUGGAUGUAGUAUAUAACCAUUUCCUUAGAUCAGGUCUGUUAGCUCCAGACUGAGUGGCUGCUGGAGAGCUGUGUGUAGAGAGAGCCUGAAACUGCUACAGAAUGAAACCGAUUUAGGUGUGGGUGACACAAUUAUUAUGUAAAAUUAUAGUUUGUGCUGUCGUCAGAACAGCUAACUGAAGGUUACAGUGGGAGCUGUAUUACCAAGGGCUCAAUCAUUGUAAUUACCUCCCAUUAGAUCACCUUCUUUACAACUGAGACGUGGCAGAAGGGGGAAGCUACAGGAAGAAAUUCCUGUCCUCACGCUCCAUUCUCCUCUGGACACGUCCUGCAGACAGCAAUUAGAGGUCAUUAGCUAGUUGGACAUAGGUGGGGAUCAUUUUUCCCACCUCAGAGUGGUCCAGCCCAGCUCUGUAGGGAUUUUCUGCCAUCUGUGCCUUUUUGCUAUGCUGCCCCAUAACAAGAAACACAGACAUGGGCACAUUGGGGUCUGCAUGUCGGGGGACACCACUGCCUCAUGCAUGUACCGGAUUCACAUUGGCAGCAGUUGGGUUUGUCCUUCAGAUGCUCAGGGAAGCUCUGAGUUUGGAUGUCAGUGAGUGCAUGAGCCAGUCGUGCUGUUACCCUCGAGCAGGACUUGCUCUGAUUUGUGUUUUCAGCAUUAUAAGCAAAAGUGACAGUUCAUGCAAACAGCCUGGAAUCCUGUCUGGAGAGACUCAGGUUGGAUUUUUCCUGGUUUAAUGAGGGCAUUAAGCACAGCCAAGCUUCGCUGUCAGCCCUGAGCAGCAAUCCCAGCAUGGAACAGCAGCACUGCAUGCUCCUCCUCAAGACCACAUCCCAGGAUUUCAGUAGAGAUCACCUGUGCCCAUCUCUGGGCUGGAUGUGAUGAUAAGGGUGACAAGAGAUACCGUGUAAGGCCAUUAGACUAACAAGGAAAUCCACUGCUUGAUGACAAGGAGACACAAUGGGAACAUAGAUUUGUAUUGAGGUGACAGAGCCACAGGCUGGAGGCUGAGGGUUCCUGACCUCUUGGGGCUGGGCAUCAAUGUGAGGGAAUCCCACAGCCAAUCCCAUGGCUGUUACUCCAUGCUUUGGAGCAGCACCAGAUCCCCACCCGAAAACAUUGGGUCCAACCUGCUGUCUGUGUGGGAGACCUCCAGAUUGGUGCUUAAUUACGGCCAUCUGCUGCUCCAGGCUUCAAAUGCAUCUCAGUGGGCUCAGUCUCUGCUCAAAUCAGCCCCAUUGAGUUUUCCUCUAUGCUGGUUUUCUUGCCCAGGGCUCCCAUUCUCAUCUGAUACAGGGCAGUUCUUUGUUCCCCAGCUCACAGCACUCAUCUGUAUUCAGCAUUAUGAUUUAAAAGCACUUCCUCUUUAUAAUUUUGCUUAUCAUCUCCUAAUAACCUCAAUGCUGUGGGGUUGUGGGUGGGUUCUGGGAGACCGCAGCAUUUCCAGCCUUUAUUGGAGGACACAGCAUUGAUCCUUUUCCAUUAGAGUGUUGAGGAAACACCAUCAAAUGGGUGAACUCUAAUCAACCCAACCAAACACAAUCCAACCCAACCCAAUACAGCACAGCUCAACCCAACCCAAGCCAGAACCUUCAGUGGUCCAAGCCCACCUUCCAUUAGGAGGUUAAAAAGGGAAAUUCUUACACCUGUGAUUGAACAAAUCCCUCUUAAGAGCUAAGGCUGAGGUGUCUCCUCCAGCUCAACCCCAAAUUGGGUUUCAGGAGAUAUUAUGGUGUUGGGAACUUAAAUAGCAUGAAUGGAAAUGGCUGCCUUCAUUAUGCUCUUCUCUUUCAAAAUCCAGGCAAGGGAAAACCUGCGUGAGAACCAUGUCCCCAUGCUGUGUCUUCCCACCACCCCAUCCAAGCACCUCCAAUUGCAGCCCAUCUCUUACAGGGAUUAAGACCUAUUUCUGCACCACUCUAUCCCAUUAAGGGCAUUACAGCAGCCCCAGAACCUUCCAUGUGACUCCUUCUAAAAGAGAGGCCAUGCUAAGCCUCACAUAAACGGCCCUGCUUGGAGGGCUGGGUGGAGACUGGGGUUUAUGCAACAUUAUUUGCCCAACGCUGCUGUUAAUUCGCUGCCUGCAGGGCAAUAAUCUGGGCAUGGGGCGGGCAGCUGCACCUUGGACCUUGUUCCUACAGCAGACAAAGCCCAAAGAUGGGGAGGACCCAGCCUUGUCCUAAGGGAUGUUGCUGCACGUUUCUGCAGCAUUGGAGCCACGGGGGCUGCAGGGAAGGCAGCUUUGAUCCAGCCCUGCAGGCUGCUGUCUGACUGGGUUGUGCCCAGCUGUGCAGACACAGAGGGAAAGAGGUUGUGUGUGUGUGUGUGUGUGCAUGCAUGUCUGCACACAUAUGCAUGCAUCUCUGCGUGCAUGUGAUCACACAUGCAUGCAUUAGCUGAUGCACGCUGUGCGUGCUCCCGUGCUCACACAUCACGCUGGCCGAGGCACGAGCAGCCAGGCCUUGCUCCCAAAUGGUUGCCAGGGUGACAGAGUGCUGCUCCUGCACUGCCAGGAUGCUCCAGCACCAGCAUCAGGGUCGCUGCAGUGUUGCGCUGGGGCCGGAGCAGGGCGCUCUUGGGCUGAUUGCUCCCAGCGGGCAGUGAGCUGUGCUGCAAGAUGACAGGGGUGCACUCGGGUGCGUGCUGUGGGAUGAGAUGCUGAAAGCUUCAGGUGACGCAUGCAUAUGCAAAUACAUGUUCCAUGAAGCACCGUGCAUGCACACGCGUGUGCCAGGAGGUGCUGUGCAUGCAAGUAUGUUUGCCAAAGUGCACCGUUUCUGCACACGCGUGUGCCAGAGGACACCACCAUGCACUCCGUGGGACUCAGAGCCAGCACAGGGGUUCCUCAUCCAGUCCCUAUGCAGCGCAGGGCCGGAUCCUGCCCCGUGACUCACAGCCUGGUUAAUCAUUCACCUCCUCGCCUGCAGCCUCAGCCAGGGUCACUCCUCCUGCUCCUGUGGCCGUGGGGAUCGUGGCUCACUGUCUGCCCACAAGCAGCUCUGAGGGUGACUGUGGCCGGAGCCAGGGGGCUCCCAGCCCACAGCCCACGUGAGCAUCACCCAGGGCAGUGGGGAGACACAUCCAGGCCAGGCUGGAGGGUGCCCAGGUUAGCAUGACUGAGGUGGAGCCGGUGCUGGACUUCGCAUCCUCAGGGAGGACUGGACGUCGCAAUGCCCUACCUGACAUCCUGGGCUCACCUGCAGGCGUCAGCCCCUCCGACCUGCCCCUCAAGCUGGCUGAGAUGUCCCUGAGUGCAGGCAGCUCCCAGGAGAUGCAGUCACCUUCUGCAGAAGUUCCCCCACCGCAGCCCCAAAGCCCGGAGCUGAAGGACACAUCCUAACCCUGCAGGCAGACCGAGCAGUGGGGUGAGGACACUGUGGAGCAUCCGCAUCGCUGCCCUUGUGCCAUGCAGCGAGAGCAUCGCCUGCAGGAGAGGAGCCACGCAGGGACCUGUGGGGACAAAGGGACACUUCAUUCCCACGCAGGGCAAGGAUGGGGAUGUUCACCCCACAGGACACUUUUCUUCCAGAAGCAAGCGGCCAAUGGGGCUAUGCCAUGAGCAGCCCAGGGGGUCUGAGUGUUGUUCACUGUGAUGUUUUGGGUACCACGUCCGUGUCCUGUCCUUUUUCCAGUGGGUGAUCCAAGAUCCUUUCUAUUUUCCCCUCACUGCCAGCACCUCACCAAGGGUUCACUCCAUUGGGUGAGCACCCCUGAAUUCUCCUUGCAUCAGGGGAACGGGGAGCUCAGCUGGGAUCAUAUUGUGAAGCCACCCUUGGGGAUGGUGACAUCUCUGCCACUCACAGCUCUGCUGCCCACUGGGAUGGGACUUACUGCUGGAGACAAACAUGGUUCAGCUCCAGAACAUGGCUGGGGUGAGCUCGUGGGGGGCUGGAAUGGGGCACAGUGCUCAUAUCUGUCCCUGUUCCUUGGUGGUGAUGGAGUGAUCAUCCAUAGCUGUCAAUGUGGGACCAGCAAAUGGAGUCCUAAUGGGAGAGCUGUGUGGGAUGGGUGGAACUGGGAGCCACAGUGUGUGUCCAUGGGCAUGGACAUGUGUGGGAGUGGGUGCUGCUGGGGGUGGGUGCUAUGUGCAUGGGUGCUCAUGUGCAAAGGUGUCCGUGCACAUGGGUGUCUGUGUGUGAGUGACAGUGUGCAAUAAUGCCCAUGUGCAUGGGUGUCUGUGUGUGUGUGUGUGUGUGUGUGUGCCUCUGUGUGUCGGUGUCUGUGUUUGUGGGGGUCCAUGUGUGUGUGUGCUGCUGUGGGUGGGUGUCUGUGUGUGUGCACCAUUGACAUGCAUGGGUGCUCAUGCACAUGGGUGUCUGUUUGCAUGGAUAGCAGUGUGCAAUAACAUCCACGUGUAUGGGCGUCCAUGCAUAUAGGUGUCCGUGUGUGCAGCUGCAUGGAUGCUCAAGUGUGUGGAUGUGGAUGUCCACAUCUAUGAGUCUUCAUGCCCACAGGGGUCACUGUGUGAUAAUGUCCAUGGGGUGUGGAUGACCACAUGCACUGGUAAAUGGGUGUCCAUGUGCAUGGAUGCCAGUGUGCAAUAAUACCCAUGUGCAUGGUUGUCCAUGUAUGUGAGUGUUAUGUGUGUGGAUGUCCCUGUGCAUGGGUUCUCCCUGGAUGGCUGUCCCUGUGCACAUAUGUUUGUGUGUGUGUUCACGUGUGUGCACAUCCAUGUCUCAUGGCCCCGCUGCACCAGGGUGAUGCUGGGAGCCCCAUGGCCAUGCACAUUUGGGCCUCUGAUGCCCAAGGAUGGCACUGGGAGGAGCAGAGACAGGUAACCCCUCCAGGCUAUUGCCUGUCCCCUCUCUGUGGCACCUGGAGGGUGCAUUCAAGGAGCACUGUGCACUCUGGGAGGCAGCUGAGUGACUCCCAGGGCCAUGGUUGGAUAAUAAACUGUGUGUGUUUCCGUGUGA